Molecule: ribosomal RNA, 510 nt
Filed under: uncultured bacterium
Lineage: Bacteria
Description: partial 16S ribosomal RNA
Rfam family: Bacterial small subunit ribosomal RNA
Source: RNAcentral
GACGAACGCUGGCGGCGUGCUUAACACAUGCAAGUCGAACGAAGAGCGAUGGAUGCUUGCUUCUAUCAAUCUUAGUGGCGAACGGGUGAGUAACGCGUAAUCAACCUGCCCUUCAGAGGGGGACGACAGUUGGAAACGACUGCUAAUACCGCAUACGAUCUAAUCUCGGCAUCGAGGAUAGAUGAAAGGUGGCCUCUACAUGUAAGCUAUCACUGAAGGAGGGGAGUGCGUCUGAUUAGCUAGUUGGAGGGGGAACGGCCCACCAAGGCGAUGAUCAGUAGCCGGUCUGGGAGGAUGAACGGCCACAUUGGGAACGGGACACCGCCCAGACUCCUACGGGAGGCAGCAGUGGGGAAUCUUCCGCAAUGGACGAAAGUCUGACGGAGCAACGCCGCGUGAGUGAUGACGGCCUUCGGGUUGGAAAGCUCUGUUAAUCGGGACGAAAGGCCUUCUUGCGAAUAGGGAGAAGGAUUGACGGUACCGGAAUAGAAAGCCACGGCUAACUACGUG